This 274-nucleotide ribosomal RNA is filed under the name uncultured bacterium. RNAcentral's name for it is "partial 16S ribosomal RNA". It matches the Rfam family "Bacterial small subunit ribosomal RNA", at positions 523 to 796 of the family's 1533-position model. The record is from RNAcentral.
CUACGGAGGGUGCAAGCGUUAUUCGGAAUCACUGGGCGUAAAGGACGCGUAGGCGGGUUGGCAAGUCAGAUGUGAAAUCCCACAGCUUAACUGUAGAACUGCAUUUGAAACUGCUAACCUAGAGUAUGGGAGGGGGAGAUGGAAUUAGUGGUGUAGGGGUAAAAUCCGUAGAUAUCACUAGGAAUACCGAAAGCGAAGGCGAUCUCCUGGAACAUAACUGACGCUAAGGCGUGAAAGCGUGGGGAGCAAACAGGAUUAGAAACCCUAGUAGUCC